Molecule: transfer RNA, 71 nt
Filed under: Ulmus laciniata
Lineage: Eukaryota; Viridiplantae; Streptophyta; Magnoliopsida; Rosales; Ulmaceae
Also listed under: 3 other names
Description: tRNA-Leu
Source: RNAcentral
AUAUAUAUAAUAUAAAUUAUUAACAUAUAAAUGUUAAAAAUUUAUUUAUUAUUUCAUUUGAAUUAUAUAUA